RNAcentral lists this long non-coding RNA (1598 nucleotides) under Lathyrus oleraceus (garden pea). RNAcentral describes it as "Pisum sativum (pea) long non-coding RNA (PSAT_LNC032427)". Lineage: Eukaryota; Viridiplantae; Streptophyta; Magnoliopsida; Fabales; Fabaceae. The record is from RNAcentral.
GACGUGGUGUCACCUCUCUCACAGCUACCACUACCUACAUUCACUCACAAAAAUAUCACCACUCUCUCUUCUCUCUCCUCACUCUCACUCAACGUUACAAAAAAGGGAAAUAAAAUGGAAUUAUUGUUUCCCAUUUAAUACCCACACACACGUUACCACAGACAAAAGAAAACUCUCACAUUAUCUCUCCCUCAGAAUCACCUCAAAAGAAAACCCUUUCUCCACCUCACGUCUCGAACACGCUACUCACUCUCACAAACUCACUCAAAGAAUCCACCACCGUCCAAAUGCCAACUCUUUCUCCCUCUGUUUUCGCCAACAGCCACGAUUUCCACCGUCGGAAAUCGCCCUCUCCUUUCGUGAUUCGCGCCUCAAGAUUCACCCUCAUCCAACCACAACGAACUCCUCCGGUUCAUCCACCACAACUCUCCUCCGCCUGUUCGAUCGUCAAGCUCUCCAUCGCCGUCCAACAACAACACCACUACCGAAGACUUCUUCCUCUUCAUCGUCGUAUCCAUCCACUCAUGAGGUAACCGCUGAAGAUAAACACCAUUUUCAGAUCGCCGGAACUCCACAUGAAAAGUGAGAAGAAUGGUCUCCUGAACAAAAUACGGCGACACUGCCGGUAGAAGCAAAAUCGCACGCAAAUCCAAAAACGCAUCAGCAACUUGUAGCAACGAAGAUCCGCGUUUUGGUAACGACUUCGAGUUUCUUCAAACGUGUCCAUUAUGGUGCUUUAAUUUGAUCUUAAUCAUGUGGUUGUUUUUUUAAGCUGUUACAAAUUUCACUUUUAUAUGUUGUAUUCUGGUUAUCGAAAAGAAGUUGUCCAUAUGCAUUUGUUGUGUAUUUGUCGCUGCAGUAUUGUUAUUAAUCUAUAAUUCUGGAUUCGCUGCAUAAUUUACAUAAUGAUACGCAUGUGCUGUUGUUUUGUGCUGUUGUGAUGUGCUGUUGUGAUGAUUACAUUUUUCAUUUCAAUUACAAUUUUGGUGAAAUCGUAAGUUGUUGAAACUAGUACGAUGAUUAUGGUUGUGCGUUUAUGAUUAUUUCAAUUUCGGUUGUGCAUUUGCUGAGUUAAACUAGUACGAUGAUUAUGGUUGUGCGUUUAUGAUUAUUUCAAUUUCGGUUGUGCAUUUGCUGAGUUGCGGGUCUGGAUCGAUUAUCCGUUUGAAUGUAUAGCUUGUUGGACUUGUAAAUUAAUGUCAACGGUGUUUUUAGUGUUGCUGUUGUUGUUUUUGUGAAAAUUACAUGAUUACCGUAACAUGAUACGUGCCUCUUGGCUGGACGCGUGACUUUAGGAAAAUUGAAAUUAUCAUCACCAUAUAUACUGUUACGGUAACAUUUCCCAUUUGUCAUUAUAUUUCCUAUAGAUUAUAAUAGAAUUGGUUUAUUUUUGUUAAGUUUUAAUUAUUACUGUUAGUAAAGCAUUAUAACAUAAUUUGGUUUGUUUUAAUAAUAGAUUUUUUUAGUUGUUCCAAUAUUAACUUUUAGGAUUGAGUCAUUAUAUGUUUGUAUUAUAUUUGUUAGAAAUAGUUUAUAUUAUGGACCUUCAUUUUGUUUACUACUGUUAUAGUAUUUGUAAUUAAAUAAUUAGGUAGAAG